CAGCCGCCACGGUAAAACGGAGGGUGCAAGCGUUAAUCGGAAUUACUGGGCGUAAAGCGCGCGUAGGCGGACAUUUAAGUCAGGGGUGAAAUCCCGGGGCUCAACCCCGGAACUGCCUCUGAUACUGGGUGUCUAGAGUUCGGAAGAGGUAAGUGGAAUUGCGGGUGUAGAGGUGAAAUUCGUAGAUAUUCGCAGGAACACCAGUGGCGAAGGCGACUUACUGGUCCGAUACUGACGCUGAGGUGCGAAAGCGUGGGGAGCAAACAGGAUUAGAUACCCCGGUAGUCCCUGUCUCUUAUAC
RNAcentral lists this ribosomal RNA (301 nucleotides) under uncultured bacterium. RNAcentral's name for it is "partial 16S ribosomal RNA". It matches the Rfam family "Bacterial small subunit ribosomal RNA", at positions 509 to 807 of the family's 1533-position model. The record is from RNAcentral.